CAGCAAUUGCCAAAGCCAGUGAUCGAUAGUCAUCUUUUGUACUAGAACAAGCUACAACAUUUUUCUUCUUGUCACUCCAUGAAACCACGAUUUUGCUUAGAAAAAUGCCAUAUCCACUGCUACUGGGUCUGUCAUUCGGAUUUCCUGCCCAGUCUGAGUCACCAGAAAGCAUUUAGAUCUAUCAUUAAGAGUGAGUAAUAAAGCCCAUAGUCAACUGUCCCUUUUAGAAAUCGAAGAACACAUUUUAGAGCCAUCAAAUGUCCUUCAUGUGGAUAAUGCAUGAAUUGGCAUAGUUGGUUGACAACAUAAGAGUGUCUGGUCUUCUAAUAGUGCAAUAUUAAAAUGCACCGAUAAUCAUUCUGUAUUCAAUAGGAUCUAAAAGUAAAUAACCAUCUAUGGGGGCAAUUUCGACCAAUAACCAUAGGAGAGGAUAGUGGCUUUGCUCCAGCCAUAUUGGCCCGAUGCAAGAGGUCAGUAAUAUAUUUUCCUUGAUGUAAGUGAUACAAUGAGACUCAUGGCAUGACGAACUCUUAGAAAGUAACUAAAACUUUGAAGAUCUUUGAGCUGAAAUUAACUUCCCAGUGUAGCAAUAAACUGAGUGAUAACCAUUGUAUCUAUCCCUAUUAUAAUGAUAUCAUCUAUGUAGUCAAGAACAAAGAUUUGUAAGUGAUUUCUACCAUAAACAAAUAGAGAUGAAUCAACAGAAAAUUCAAGGAAACCAUAUUCAAGUAGUUGUUGUGAGAGUCUUCGAAACCAUGCUCUUAGAGCUUAAUUCAGCCCAUAGAGAGAUUUAUGAAGCCUGCAAACAAAAUAAGGUUGGUACUCAUCAAGAAAUCCUUUUGGCUACUCCAUAAAUGCCUCCUCAUCUAAUAUGCCAUGUAAAAAGGCAUUUGAAACAUCCAGUUACCGAAUAUGCCAAUGAAAAUUAACUACCAAGGCUAGUUGAAG
RNAcentral lists this long non-coding RNA (948 nucleotides) under Olea europaea subsp. europaea. The record is from RNAcentral. Lineage: Eukaryota; Viridiplantae; Streptophyta; Magnoliopsida; Lamiales; Oleaceae.